AGGUGUAAGUUUAUAGUAAAUCCGCUUAGCUGAGUGAGUUCGUUCCAGUUAGAUGGGAGCUGAGGCAGUGGUCUCUUCCUUUGCGGCCAACUUCCAGAAGUGGUGUCUCACCGACAAAUCACAUUGAAGACUGAUAUUCAGCACCUUUGAAGAUUAGAUGUCCAAGGGAUUGGAAGCAAAAUGUUUGGUUUUGGAAGUUCUUCUGUUCAUUUUCUGACAAAACUACAUAAAGAAUCCUGAUGAGCCAACCGUUAGUGAGGAAGUCUGGAGAACACCUUCUGGGGACAGUUGUGUUUAGCUCAGUUAUGGUGCUGCAAACUCCCAGCUCCUCAUAUGAAAGGAAAUCCACACCUGCAUGGUAUGGACCACUUCUUUGCAGUGUAAUUAUAUUUGAAGAAAACCAGGAAAAAAUAUAUCAAGAUAUUUUAAAGCUCCUCUAACUGCAGUAUUUGAGCAGCUUGUAAUGUUUUACGUGCUUUUCAUCACAAAACCAAACUAAAACCAAAACACAACAUGAAAUUGGGGAUGGAUUAUUGCUUUUUUUGGUGUGGUUUUGGAAGUGAUACAGUGGAAGACUGACUUAUUAUCCAGAGAAGUUUAUGGGAGAAAAAGCCGUGCUAAGCUGUAGGCUGACACAGCAGCAUUUUUUCUCAUGAAAUCCUUGUCACAGGAAGAAAAAUAUAAGGCUAUUUUUGCAGAGUAAAAAAGGGGUUAGCUGUUAUUCUGAUGUUUCCUUGCUCUCCUUAAAGUUUUACAUGAGAUUCUUUCUGCAGGGAGGAUAAGUUUUGUGUCAUUUUUGCUUUGUAGCAUCAGCAUCGCUUAGCCCGUCCUAAACUGCCAGCUGUCUCUUUUUUAUGUGAAGUACAUAAUGCCUUCCAAGAUUCCAUGAGGUAUGGAAAUUUGAUCAGGGAAUGAAAAAGCACUGGUGAACAGUGGCGAGGUUCUGUGUUUGGGUUUUAUUCCGCCUUUCUAACAAAUUGAGGGGCGACACCUCUUGGUGUCCACUAUUCUUCUGCACUUUUUUUCUUGGAGUCCUUUCUGCUUGCAAACCUACCUGAGGAUGGGUUGGGUUGUAUUCCAAAUUCCUAAAACCGCUAAGUAAAUAUGAAUGAGGAGUGACCUAUUUUUAAAGUAUUAAAUGUGCUAUGGAUAGAAAGGUGACAGCAGCAUCAGGAAUGUUGUCAUUGCAGUGGCUGGAGAGACACGUACUCUCAGUUCUCCCACUGCAACAGAAGUGACAAGAGUCCUGGGUCUCUCUGGAGGAAAAUAUUUGCUUCACUCAGAUAUUUAGUGUUUAUCUGAUCAAUAUUCAUAUAAACAAAACCGAGGAGUUCCUGUCAUUCAGUUCUCAGAGUCUGAUGUUGUUGUUACUGCUUCUAUGUUUGUCAGUUGUUCAGGCAUGAAAAAUCACCAGUUUGUACAGUUGGAAAAAAAACCACACUGUCCCAAACACUUCCCUGUCUUUAUAAAACAUAGAGGAAGACAUAAGGAACUUAUAUAGAGAGUUAUGAAGUUUUACCUACUGAUAGAUCACAUUUAGAAUUGAUUUUUAGCUUGCAUGUUCUCAUCAAAAUAUUGUUUUAAAAAAUUACAUUUUUGGAAGCUUAAAUAACCUACCUAAGACAAAUUCAUUUUCUUGUCUAGGUUUUUCAGCUAAAACCAGUUCUAACUAUCAUCUGCUGGUGGCACCAUUACACCAGAAUAAUUUAAUGUCCAAGUCUUAAGUAGAUGAAAUGCCACAGAUUACACCUUUCAAUCUGAUUUCAUGGAAAAAAAAAAAGUGUAUCUUUUUAAUUAGGAUAUCAGUUAGAUUAUAUAGCUUGUUUUCUGUCUUUCUCAACAACAUAUGUCAUUAAAAUAGGUGAUUGCAGCAAAUUUUGGGCUGAACAUGCCAACAUGGCUCAAACACUUAAUGAGGAAAGGAAGAAUAAACUCUUGUGGAGCUGAAUACAGAUAGAGAUUUUUAUGUGAAAUGCAUGUGAGAUGGCUGAGAUCUGGUAAGGGUUAAUGCCUUGAGAUUCUGGCUGUCCUCUCAGGACAGGACUCAUUCUUUUAGAUGUGGCAGAGUUUCAAGCUUGACCAUGGUCUACACUAGUGAGCUUCAGAGAGCACUGGGUCAGACAAAGAACUGCAGCAUGGUAUCAGAACCAGGACCACAACCACAGCAGCUGGAAAGAUGGACAUGAGCAGCUGGCAAGGCUUUGCCUGUCUCUACCUGUAUGUUAAAAUUGCCCAUCUCACUCCUUCACAAGCUGCUAACUCUGGAAGCACCACUGGCUGCCAUCCCUGAUGCUCUGAGCUGCCCAGCACACCCUCUGGACAGCAGCAGAGCCUGGAGCCCGUUGUCUCGAGCAAAGCCUCUGUGAACGCGGCAUUAGGAUGCCAUGGGGCCUUUGUGGGUGACUUUUAAAGAAAUGAGCUCAAUAAGGAGCCCAACAGUGAUGUAAGAGGGAAGGAAAUAGUCUGGCAGUGUCACCUAGAGUGGGUGAUCCUUUAUGCAAUACUCCAUUUUCUUCCUGCAUCAGAAAUAUUUCUACAUUGACUUUUAUUUCCUUUUUUUUUAAAAUUUCCUUUCAGGAAUCUUGGCUGAACACCACAGAGUGGUAUUUCUCCACACAGGUUUCUUCUAUAACUUCAGUUUUCAGCUUAGUGCUAUGACGAUUGAAAACUUCUAGUAGUUACGUACAUUAAUCUUUCUCCUCCCUGGAAGAUACAACACUUAUAUUUAAAUACAGAACGAAUUCUAUAAUUCUGUUUCUUACAAUGAACUAAUUACUGUAGUCAUCUUCGUAUACUCAAAAAAGGGAGAAUCACAUAACACUUCGGUCCAUUGUGAAUGUCCUUAUCUAUGGCACAUGAUCCCGUGUGUUAGAUGAAACAAGAGAGAAAAUUAUACUCUUUAUAGAUCCUCUUAUAAACCCUGCUAAUUUUCUUUUUCUCCUAAUUUCAACAAACACAACUUCAUCCCAUGUUGCUCUCUGCUUCUCGUGGUUAAUGUUGCUUUAUAUCUGGGCAGAAGUAAUUUGUGCAAGACAUAUUGCUUAUAGGACAGUGCCUAAAAAUAUUUCAAAAGGUCAUUGCACAUCAGACAGAAGGCAGCGCUUGUCCCAGCCACUUGCUGUGAGAACUACAGGUCUUUGUUAAUAUUAAUUGUGCGUGUUUUAAACAGUGCAUGUUUUAAAAAUACACUGAGCAAACACGCAGCGAUGAGCAUUUUGUAAGCCCUGGGACUGGAUAAUGGAGGUCAGUUCUUCACUGGUGAUUUCAGGCAGAAAUGUUUGCUCUUCUUGUUAAUGUCAAGGUUUGUGAAUUAGAGCCAUAUUGUACAAAUGCUUCCAGGAAAGUGGGGUAUAUUUUCACACUCACUAUUUCCAAAAAUACAAGUAAAACAAAAAUAGUAACAAAGAUGUACAAAGUACCAAGAAGGUUCAGAACUAAUCACUUGCACAAACAUUCACGAUGAUUGUGAUUAUAAUAGUAACCAUAUAAACAGAACAUGGGAAAAAAUCUGCUGGGAGAAGGGCAGAUUCCCUACGUGCUCAGAAGGAGCUGAGGUGAACUUGGAGCCUCCAUGGGCUCCUGUUCUUCUGCACCAAGCGAUAGGAUGGGAGGAAAUGACCUCAAGUGGCAGCAGGGAAGGUUCAGAUGGGAUAUUAGGAAACAUUUCUUCAUGGAAAGGGUUGUGAAGCAGCGGAACAGGCUGCCCUGGGAAGCGGCCGAGUCACCCUGGAGGUGUUUAAAAGACGUGGAGACGAGGUUCUUAGGCACAUGGUUUAGUGCCAGAGUUAAGUUAUGCUUGGAUUUGGAGAUCUUAAGGGUCUUUUCAAACCAAAGUGAUUCUAUGAUUCUCUCUUCAGGUAGACAUUAUGUAAGAAUGAUGUUUUUAUUGAAAACAAACAAGAUUCUGAGACUUUUAUAUGUCUCCAGAGAAAAGGCUGCAAUAUUUAAAAGGCUAUAUCAAUGUCAAACAAAGAAAUCCUGACACCUGGACACCAUUCCCUUCAAGGCCAUCUCAUUCGAGCAUGCUUGGUUGGUUUUGUAAUUCAUGCUUAAUAAGAAAACGUUGAAAAGGUCUGAUUCUGGCUUUGCAUCAAAGGCAGUGAAGCUGUACAAGCGCCUCAUCGUUUAUAAUGCGAUGGAGUACUGCAUGGCAAGUUACAACCCAAAUUUAUGUUGCUAUUGAGUAUGGCUUUAUUUAUUUAUUUUUUAACUGGUGCAUAAAGGUGUUUACAAUGGUAAUUAUUCACACGUUUUGAAGAAGAAAAGAAUGCUGAAAGAACGAAAUGUGGUGAAAAUAACAGCAUCAGAAGUCUGGAAGGUGAUGCUGUGUAGGUAAACUUGUUUCAGAAGUUCUUUAAAUGAAAAGUUUAUGAAGAUAAAUAGAAAUUCUCUUUUGGAAGGAAGAUUGAGGUAGAAUGGACAGGGGGGUUGCCAAGAAAAUGGUUUGAAAGGAUGUAAUAUGUACAUGUUGACAUUUCCUGCUUUUACACCAUUAAAAAAACCCCAACAAACUUAUGAAAUAGCCUUGGGUGGAAUAAUUGUGUUUAUUAGUGUGGUAUGAGGACAAGUGUUUGCAGCAGGUCAGAAGGGCUGUCUUGCACUUGUACCUCUCUUUUGUUGUAUUUGGCCAUCUCAUUUCAUCCCUGCCCAACACAUGCUUUUAUUUUGGUUUUGAGAAAGCAACGUGCCAUGACUUGAACAAAAACUGAGCAAGAAUCCCAGUCUCCCUUGUGAGCAUCCCCCAGCAUCCUGUAGCUCUGCAAAUAAUGUUCUGCUGUCUGUCUUUCAAGCAACAUUCGAACAUAUGUUUUAUAUGGAGAUGCUGAUGGACAGCAACAUCUGCUGCUCCCAGCCAGCUCAUACCCUCUUAUUUGGACUGUAAUUACUUCAUCGGCUGCGAUUUGUGUCCUGUGUUUGCCUGCUAUCUGUUUCUGUCAGGUCUUCGUCUUCUACAAACUACCCAUUAUGUAGUGAUAGUAAUUAAAUCUCCCCUCCACCAGGCAGGUCUGAGCAGCGCAAAACAGACCAUCCUUGUCCCUGCAGCUGCCAGAAAAGAUGCAGCUUGUAACAAAGCCUGAAUCACCUGCCCGCUGCACAAUGGCCGAGACCACCUAUUUGUUUCAAACAAGCUAUUUUAGCAGCUGUCAGAUGGAAAUGGCUUUCAGCUGCUGACAACUGUGCCCUAUGCAAACCAGGGGACGUGUCAUGGAAACAUGCAUAAAUAUUCAUGUGGGACUAACAAAACCAAAAGUGCAAGUAUCAGAGCUUCUGCAUGAAUAUAUUGUAGCUGGCCCUGCUGUGCGCGUUUUAGUGCGAUGAAUGCAGGGCGAGUGUUUGGAAGCAACGUUGUCCUUUUUACGUGUGUGAGAAAAAAAUCCACGGAAUGCAGUGGAGUUGCAGGGGUGAGCAAGCAAGAGCAGGAUUUGUGUCCCCGUGUAACGCAGGCAGUUCUAGAUCGGCAUUGCCGUCCAUCGUGGGGAUCACUGACACCUGGUAGUGAGAGAAAGGAGCUGUUGUGUUUAAUUAUUCUGUUUGCAUUUCUCUUUUGAAGCCACAUAUGAGGAAUUGAAAGUUUCUCGCUCAAUCUGUGCUGGGCCCUUAAGGAACGCAAGAACCCAGUGGCUGAGUUCAGUGUUUUAGGUUUUUAAAUUCAUUAACUGAUUUCAAGAACAGGAAAGUAUCUGAUUUUGUCAAGACAUGAUAAUUUCUCACUGUUCUAGCACCCUGAAGCCUCAAAGCUUUUCUAUCAAGAUAGAAACAUUGUGAGUCAGUCUCUUUAGACAGACUGUUUUACAAAUUAAUUCUGGCAGCGUUUCUACAUGGGAUUAUUUUUAAAGUACUUUGUUUGUACCGUGCUUUUACUUUUCUCCACAGAUUCUGGAUAGCCACGCUGAGCGGGGAUCUUCAGAUUAAAGUACAUGAUGGGAUAAUAAAGAUUCUGUAACAACAGAGUGGGAAUGACUGCAUGAGAAUUUUUUCUUGGUUAUGUGCAAACAAGACAGAAUCUACAAAGGCAUCCAGCUGAUUAGGUCCAUGUAAAUCUGAAAAUAAUUAUAAAUAAUUUCUGGUACUUUAAUUCCAUUGCAUGCUUAACCAUAUAGCCUGUAUAUGUAUAUUUUUGUGGUAAAGAGGUCUUGUGAAAAUGGAGUUAACUCAGUGUUUCAGAUAAAGAAAGAUAUUUUACCUAGAAGCUGUUGUCAUAAUAGUUACACAAAAGGAUUCAAAUAUUCUGUAACUUGCUGUGAAUAAAAUAUUAAAAGAUACAGGUGUUGUUCAUGAACCAUCAAAGAGUUUUCCACUGCCAUCGUGUUUUAUUAAAAUGAAAAGAAGAAGAUAAAAGAAAAAAAAGGAACAGAGCCAUGUGCUAAUCCUUUCCUUUGUUGCUUAAGGGAAAUUUCAGUAUAAAGUAGCAAUUUCCAUAUAAUUUGAAUAGCAGUUGCAACCCAUCGAUGUUUAAAGUAAAACGUGCAGGAAAACAGAUGCAAAUGUCUUGUCUGUUUUUAAAUGUAGCUCCCUGCUUGUUGUCUCAAUUAGAUUUAGAGUAGGAAACUCGAUCAGAUAAUUAAAAGCAUAGAAGCUAUUCUUUCGUUUCUUUCAUAGCAAGAGUUUGUUCAAAGCCAAGCUGGAGCGAGCUGGGCCGGCUGCAGUGCGGGCGAGGGUCCCGCAGCAUCCAGCCCUCCCCGCCGGGAUGCAGGAGAUGCUGCUGCCCGGGUGGCUUUGAGGUGGGAAAGGGACCCAUCUCCUACCCCUGGGGACAGGAACAGACUUUUAGUUCUGUUGAUGUCCAGUGGCAUCCCAGUGCAAGUCUCCGCACAUUUUUGUAAACAGGCAAUAACAAAAAUAAAUGGCAUUUAGCAUUUAGAUGCCAGCCCGGUGGUUUUGUUUGUGCAGGGUGCAGUGUGGCAAGUUAAAUAAAAUGCCGCUGAAUUCCCUGAGCUCUACCAUCCCAGGCUUUGGGUGGCUGGAACCGUUCCUCAGAGGACUUUUUAGAUCUAAAAAAACCUUGUAAUGGUAUGAAGAAAGAGUUUACUUUAUCCUUUGCCUUUCCAAAUUAAACAAUUAACACAUGUCGAUGGUGCUUUUCUCUGCCCGGUGUAUCUGAGCUGCUGGCAGAACAACCAGGGCAAGCUAGGGAUUUCCAUCAGAGCGGUUUCUGAGUGAAACUGCCCUUCUUGGAAAGGAAAAACUUCCCAGGAAAAGACUUGGGUUCUGAUCUGAUUAUAAUUAAUCUUCUGAUAGAUAAAUUAAAUUGAGGACAGCUUGGCUAUCCACCUGGGUAAAGGGAUCUUCUCAAUUUCUGCUGGUAAAACCCUCCUGGUGUCUGUGUCCAGGAGCUGUGCUUGUCCUGGGCCAGGGAGGAUGUUGGAGGUGACACAGCUGCCACCUCUCUCAGCUCCUGCUGCCACCGUGCCAGGAAGAUGUGGCUGCAAAGGGGGAGGCCCUGGAGCUGCGCCCUCGUCUCUGAAGUCCCUUCUAUUUCUU
Molecule: long non-coding RNA, 7482 nt
Organism: Columba livia (rock pigeon)
Lineage: Eukaryota; Metazoa; Chordata; Aves; Columbiformes; Columbidae
Exons: 3
Source: RefSeq, a predicted model, not a curated record